RNAcentral lists this ribosomal RNA (221 nucleotides) under Debaryomyces hansenii. RNAcentral describes it as "partial 26S ribosomal RNA". It matches the Rfam family "Eukaryotic large subunit ribosomal RNA", at positions 82 to 306 of the family's 3401-position model. The record is from RNAcentral. Lineage: Eukaryota; Fungi; Ascomycota; Pichiomycetes; Serinales; Debaryomycetaceae.
AGUAACGGCGAGUGAAGCGGCAAAAGCUCAAAUUUGAAAUCUGGCACCUUCGGUGUCCGAGUUGUAAUUUGAAGAAGGUAACUUUGGAGUUGGCUCUUGUCUAUGUUCCUUGGAACAGGACGUCACAGAGGGUGAGAAUCCCGUGCGAUGAGAUGCCCAAUUCUAUGUAAAGUGCUUUCGAAGAGUCGAGUUGUUUGGGAAUAAAAACGGGCGAUCCAUAU